AAUAUGGUUGCUGAAUCAUAUGGCAAGACUGUUUGAUUUUAUAAGAAACCACUAAAUUUUCUCCUAAAGUUACUGAGCCAUUCUGCAUUCCCAGUAGCAAU
RNAcentral lists this microRNA precursor (101 nucleotides) under Marmota monax (woodchuck). Lineage: Eukaryota; Metazoa; Chordata; Mammalia; Rodentia; Sciuridae. The record is from RNAcentral.